Molecule: long non-coding RNA, 779 nt
Organism: Hippocampus comes (tiger tail seahorse)
Lineage: Eukaryota; Metazoa; Chordata; Actinopteri; Syngnathiformes; Syngnathidae
Exons: 2
Source: RefSeq, a predicted model, not a curated record
UUGAAUACUGUGAAAUGUGUUCCCUCUAUAAAAACGAUUCGAUAUUGUAUAUAUAUUUUUUUCAACCUAUGGGAAUUGCUUGCAAAACUGGCCUUAAAGGGAAAAACCUCCUGUAUUUAGUUUAGGCACUUGUUUUUUGUUUGGGCUGACUCAGGUCAUGGCUUGUUCACAGCUGGUGAAGCAAUUUGCUUAUAACUACCGCUCACUAAUCCCGAUAAGAGGCUUUCUCAGAACUGCUUGGUUUUGCACUUGGAAAGCGAACACAAAUACAUCAGUAGUUUCCUCACACUUAGCUGCAGUUCAGCAGCAGGCGUGAAAAAGAAAAACGUGUGUCACAGAUCCCGACUACUAGGAAAUCACAGUGAUGUCCACAUGAUGACUUCGGGUUUGUGUUUGUUUCAUGUCCGCUGCUAGUUUCAGUUAUUAGACUCUUAGUUAUGAUUAAGGACUGAAUUCUAACUCAUUUUUAAAAUGUAAAAAAAAAAAAAAAAUUGAGUGAGGUAAUCUUUCUUUGUGAACGGUCUUUUAUUUUCUUAAGAAAAGGUGAGAUUUCCAUUUUCCUCAGGAAAUCGCUUACAUGUAUGAAUACAAUAUCUCCUUUAUUUCCUUGUCAAAAAGGCAAAGGACAAAAACUGUACAGUAUGUUGUAUCAUUUUGGACUAUUCCCAGCCAUUGAUAGUCGGAACAUUUUUUUUGGACAAACAUAAGCCUGGCGAUGAUGAAAAUAGAAGUCUUGUGUAUCAUCAUGAAAGAAGACUAUUGUGGAGGACAACAGUAGU